UACGUAGGGGGCAAGCGUUGUCCGGAUUUAUUGGGUUUAAAGGGUGCGUAGGUGGUCAAUUAAGUCAGUGCUGAAAUAUCCUGGCUUAACCGGGAGGGUGGCAUUGAUACUGAUUGACUUGAGUAGAGUUGAGGUAGGCGGAAUUGACGGUGUAGCGGUGAAAUGCGUAGAUAUCGUCAAGAACACCGAUAGCGAAGGCAGCUUACUAAGCUCAAACUGACACUGAUGCACGAAAGUGUGGGGAUCAAACAGG
Molecule: ribosomal RNA, 253 nt
Filed under: uncultured bacterium
Lineage: Bacteria
Description: partial 16S ribosomal RNA
Rfam family: Bacterial small subunit ribosomal RNA
Source: RNAcentral